UCCGUAGGCGGGCGACUAAGUCAGAGGUGAAAUCUCACAGCUUAACUGUGGAACUGCCUUUGAUACUGGUUGUCUUGAGUUAUAGUGAAGUAGAUAGAAUAUGUAGUGUAGCGGUGAAAUGCUUAGAUAUUACAUAGAAUACCGAUUGCGAAGGCAGUCUACGAACUAUAUACUGACGCUAAUGGACGAAAGCGUGGGGAGCGAACAGGAUUAGAUACCCUGGUAGUCC
Molecule: ribosomal RNA, 229 nt
Filed under: uncultured bacterium
Lineage: Bacteria
Description: partial 16S ribosomal RNA
Rfam family: Bacterial small subunit ribosomal RNA
Source: RNAcentral